AGUGGUUACGCUCGGGGAGCCGGGGACUGUAAAUUCCUUAAACUGUGGUUCGAGUCCACAAACCACUG
Molecule: transfer RNA, 68 nt
Filed under: Brassica juncea (brown mustard)
Lineage: Eukaryota; Viridiplantae; Streptophyta; Magnoliopsida; Brassicales; Brassicaceae
Description: tRNA-Tyr
Rfam family: tRNA
About the family: Transfer RNA (tRNA) molecules are approximately 80 nucleotides in length.
Source: RNAcentral